Molecule: non-coding RNA, 331 nt
Organism: Arachis ipaensis
Lineage: Eukaryota; Viridiplantae; Streptophyta; Magnoliopsida; Fabales; Fabaceae
Source: RefSeq, a predicted model, not a curated record
AGCAUGGCACUCUCGGGGCACUUGUCCAAGAUUCUGUUAAGAGCCACUACGAGACCCUGUUUUAUUGUUUUCCCUUCCCUUCCCCUGCUCCAAUUCUCUGCUUUCCAGUAACAAGCAAUAACAACACUGAAGCUAUUGAGAGAGAAGAAGAACAAGUUUGAAGAGGUUCCACUGUUUUGGCUUUGGUCCUUCCUCCCUGCUGGUGCCUUCGUCUCUGUCAUUCCCUACUCAGUCUUCUCUGCCAUUAGUCACAGAUUUUGCAGUUUAUUGCUUAGUUUUAAGGUGUGGAGCCUGGACCAAAGUAGUAGCUUCAUCCACACUGAACAUAAAA